This 301-nucleotide unclassified non-coding RNA is filed under the name uncultured fungus. Its description in RNAcentral is "partial contains small subunit ribosomal RNA, internal transcribed spacer 1, and 5.8S ribosomal RNA". The stretch from base 1 to 73 matches the Rfam family "Eukaryotic small subunit ribosomal RNA", at positions 1759 to 1831 of the family's 1831-position model. Lineage: Eukaryota; Fungi. The record is from RNAcentral.
UCAAACUUGGUCAUUUAGAGGAAGUAAAAGUCGUAACAAGGUCUCCGUUGGUGAACCAGCGGAGGGAUCAUUACAGGGUCUGACGACUGCCCAAACCAAACCGUGAACUAUUCCUUCUACAAUGCUUCGGCGAGCCGCUCGCUGGGGGAGCCGCUGAGGCCGGUCGCGAUUACCGGUGGCUCGUCGAAGCAUGCCACACAAAACUUGAUAGCAAACCUCUGAGAAAUUCUUUUUCCAACGAAAAAAAAUCACAACUCAUAACAAUGGAUCUCUUGGCUCUGGCAUCGAUGAAGAACGCAGC